UACAGAGGGGGCUAGCGUUGUUCGGAAUUACUGGGCGUAAAGGGCGCGUAGGCGGCCCGUCGAGUCGGGUGUGAAAGCCCGGGGCUCAACCCCGGAACGGCACCCGAGACUGGCGGGCUCGAGACCGGGAGAGGAGGGUGGAAUACCCAGUGUAGAGGUGAAAUUCGUAGAUAUUGGGUGGAACACCGGUGGCGAAAGCGGCUCUCUGGCCCGGUUCUGACGCUGAGGCGCGAAAGCGUGGGGAGCAAACAGG
RNAcentral lists this ribosomal RNA (253 nucleotides) under uncultured bacterium. RNAcentral describes it as "partial 16S ribosomal RNA". It matches the Rfam family "Bacterial small subunit ribosomal RNA", at positions 524 to 776 of the family's 1533-position model. The record is from RNAcentral.